GAUGAACGCUGGCGGCGUGCCUAAUACAUGCAAGUCGAGCGAACAGACGAGGAGCUUGCUUCUCUGACGUUAGCGGCGGACGGGUGAGUAACACGUGUAUAACCUACCUAUAAGACUGGGAUAACUUCGGGAAACCGGAGCUAAUACCGGAUAAUAUUUUGAACCGCAUGGUUCAAUAGUAAAAGACGGUCUUGCUGUCACUUAUAGAUGGAUCCGCGCUGCAUUAGCUAGUUGGUAAGGUAACGGCUUACCAAGGCAACGAUGCAUAGCCGACGUGAGAGGGUGAUAGGCGACAUUGGAACGUAGCCACGGUCAAGACUCCUACGAGAGGCAGCAGUAGGGAACCUGAGGCAGUGGGCGAAAGCCUGACGGAGUAACCGGGAGUGAGUGAUGACGGUCCUCGGAUCGUAAAAAUCUGUUACGAGGGAAGAACAGAUGUGUAAGGAAAUGUGGCGUGAGUGACGGUAAUGAAUAAGAAAGCCCCGGCUAACUACGUG
Molecule: ribosomal RNA, 497 nt
Filed under: uncultured bacterium
Lineage: Bacteria
Description: partial 16S ribosomal RNA
Rfam family: Bacterial small subunit ribosomal RNA
Source: RNAcentral